GUGUCAGCCGCCGCGGUAAGACAGAGGGGGCAAGCGUUGUCCGGAGUUACUGGGCGUAAAGCGCACGCAGGCGGCUUGGCAAGUGGGGUGUGAAAGCGGGCGGCUCAACCGCCCGAGGCCAUCUCAGACUGCCAGGCUCGAGCCGUUCAGAGGUCCCUCGAAUUGCCGGUGUAGUGGUGAAAUGCGUAGAGAUCGGCAGGAAGACCCACGGGGAAGCCAGGGGACUGGGAACGUGCUGACGCUCAGGUGCGAGAGCGUGGGGAGCGAACCGGAUUAGAAACCCGCGUAGUCC
Molecule: ribosomal RNA, 292 nt
Filed under: uncultured bacterium
Lineage: Bacteria
Description: partial 16S ribosomal RNA
Rfam family: Bacterial small subunit ribosomal RNA
Source: RNAcentral